CUCAAAAUCCUUUUCUUUUCCAAACACUUCGUCUCAAAACGAGACCGCAAACCCUCGAAACCGUCAUUUUGCAGAUAUGCUCUCUCUCUCUCUCUCUCUCUCUCUCUCUCUCAACCCUCGUCUCAAAUCUGGCCAUGAUCUUCUCAGUCGAGCAUCUCGUCAAUCGGCAGGUGAAAUCCAUCACAACUCAUCUCCAAAUCGUCGGUCACGGGCCUGAUUUCUAUGCCGGCUGUAGUAGCAAGAAGCAACACUCUGGUCUUGGGCAGCAUGAUUUGGAUGUACCUACGUGGGUCACUGCCAAGCUGGAGCGAAAUGGAUAUUGUAAGGCGCGGAACUAAUAUCCGUCGUGUGACCAUGGUAGACUGUUCUUUUAUGUCAGUUAAUAAUGACUUUAGAGGAGGUGGUGGAAUUCUAGAGAGGCUCUGGAGUUAUAUUUGAGUGUUGAAAAUGUGGCAAACCCGUUUGUUUAUUGUAUAUUCAGUAUUAUUUU
Magnolia sinica is the source of this 490-nucleotide long non-coding RNA. RefSeq lists it as uncharacterized. The record is from RefSeq and is a predicted model, not a curated record. Lineage: Eukaryota; Viridiplantae; Streptophyta; Magnoliopsida; Magnoliales; Magnoliaceae. The transcript has 3 exons.